GAGGGUGUAGCUCAGUGGUACAGUGCGUGCUUAGCAUGCACAAGGUCUUGGGUUCAAUCCCCAGUACUUCCA
Molecule: transfer RNA, 72 nt
Filed under: Camelus bactrianus (Bactrian camel)
Lineage: Eukaryota; Metazoa; Chordata; Mammalia; Artiodactyla; Camelidae
Also listed under: 2 other names
Rfam family: tRNA
About the family: Transfer RNA (tRNA) molecules are approximately 80 nucleotides in length. Their secondary structure includes four short double-helical elements and three loops (D, anti-codon, and T loops).
Source: Rfam by way of RNAcentral